Molecule: ribosomal RNA, 1206 nt
Filed under: Metabacillus indicus
Lineage: Bacteria; Bacillati; Bacillota; Bacilli; Caryophanales; Bacillaceae
Description: bacterial SSU rRNA
Rfam family: Bacterial small subunit ribosomal RNA
Source: RNAcentral
GCUUCCACUCAAUUGCCGACGAUAGCUAGCGACCUGAGAAGUGAUCGCACAUGAAUGAGAACACGGCCAGACUCUACCGGGAGGCAGGCAGUAAGGGAUCUCGGCAAUGACGAAGUCUGACGAGCACGCCGCGUGAGUGAUGAAGGUUUCGAUCGUAAAACUCUGUUGUCAGGGAAGAACAAGUGCCGGAGUAACUGCCGGCACUUGACGGUACUGACCAGAAAGCACGGCUAACUACGUGCCAGCAGCCGCGGUAAUACGUAGGUGGCAGCGUUGUCCGGAAUUAUUGGGCGUAAAGCGCGCGCAGGCGGUUUCUUAAGUCUGAUGUGAAAGCCCCCGGCUCAACCGGGGAGGGUCAUUGGAAACUGGGAAACUUGAGUGCAGAAGAGGAGAGUGGAAUUCCACGUGUAGCGGUGAAAUGCGUAGAGAUGUGGAGGAACACCAGUGGCGAAGGCGACUCUCUGGUCUGUAACUGACGCUGAGGCGCGAAAGCGUGGGGAGCGAACAGGAUUAGAUACCCUGGUAGUCCACGCCGUAAACGAUGAGUGCUAAGUGUUAGAGGGUUUCCGCCCUUUAGUGCUGCAGCUAACGCAUUAAGCACUCCGCCUGGGGAGUACGGUCGCAAGACUGAAACUCAAAGGAAUUGACGGGGGCCCGCACAAGCGGUGGAGCAUGUGGUUUAAUUCGAAGCAACGCGAAGAACCUUACCAGGUCUUGACAUCCUUUGCCACUUCUAGAGAUAGAAGGUUCCCCUUCGGGGGACAAAGUGACAGGUGGUGCAUGGUUGUCGUCAGCUCGUGUCGUGAGAUGUUGGGUUAAGUCCCGCAACGAGCGCAACCCUUGAUCUUAGUUGCCAGCAUUCAGUUGGGCACUCUAAGGUGACUGCCGGUGACAAACCGGAGGAAGGUGGGGAUGACGUCAAAUCAUCAUGCCCCUUAUGACCUGGGCUACACACGUGCUACAAUGGAUGGUACAAAGGGCUGCGAGACCGCGAGGUUUAGCCAAUCCCAUAAAACCAUUCUCAGUUCGGAUUGCAGGCUGCAACUCGCCUGCAUGAAGCUGGAAUCGCUAGUAAUCGCGGAUCAGCAUGCCGCGGUGAAUACGUUCCCGGGCCUUGUACACACCGCCCGUCACACCACGAGAGUUUGCAACACCCGAAGUCGGUGGGGUAACCGCAAGGAGCCAGCCGCCUAAGGUGGCUUCUGU